This 512-nucleotide ribosomal RNA is filed under the name Klebsiella pneumoniae. RNAcentral's name for it is "bacterial LSU rRNA". It matches the Rfam family "Bacterial large subunit ribosomal RNA", at positions 1 to 544 of the family's 2925-position model. The record is from RNAcentral. Lineage: Bacteria; Pseudomonadati; Pseudomonadota; Gammaproteobacteria; Enterobacterales; Enterobacteriaceae.
GGGUUGUGAGGUUAAGCGACUAAGCGUACACGGUGGAUGCCCUGGCAGUCAGAGGCGAUGAAGGACGUGCUAAUCUGCGAAAAGCGUCGGUAAGGUGAUAUGAACCGUUAUAACCGGCGAUGUCCGAAUGGGGAAACCCAGUGUGAUUCGUCACACUAUCGUUAACUGAAUACAUAGGUUAACGAGGCGAACCGGGGGAACUGAAACAUCUAAGUACCCCGAGGAAAAGAAAUCAACCGAGAUUCCCCAGUAGCGGCGAGCGAACGGGGAGCAGCCCAGAGUCUGAAUCAGCUUGUGUGUUAGUGGAACGGUCUGGAAAGUCCGACGGUACAGGGUGAUAGUCCCGUACACCAAAAUGCACAGGUUGUGAACUCGAAGAGUAGGGCGGGACACGUGGUAUCCUGUCUGAAUAUGGGGGGACCAUCCUCCAAGGCUAAAUACUCCUGACUGACCGAUAGUGAACCAGUACCGUGAGGGAAAGGCGAAAAGAACCCCGGCGAGGGGAGUGAAAA